Molecule: ribosomal RNA, 457 nt
Filed under: uncultured Glomus
Lineage: Eukaryota; Fungi; Glomeromycota; Glomeromycetes; Glomerales; Glomeraceae
Description: SSU rRNA
Rfam family: Eukaryotic small subunit ribosomal RNA
Source: RNAcentral
AGCAGCCGCGGUAAUUCCAGCUCCAAUAGCGUAUAUUAAAGUUGUUGCAGUUAAAAAGCUCGUAGUUGAAUUUCGGGACCAAUUUGUUGGUCGUGCCUCGGUACGUACUGGUAUUAUUGGUUUCUCCCUUCUGAAGAACCUCGAUGCCAUUAAUUUGGUGUCGUGGGGAAUCAGGACUGUUACUUUGAAAAAUUAGAGUGCUUAAAGCAAGCAUACGCUUGAAUACAUUAGCAUGGAAUAAUGAAAUAGGACGUUUGAUUCUAUUUUGUUGGUUUCUAGGAUCGACGUAAUGAUUAAUAGGGAUAGUUGGGGGCAUUAGUAUUCAAUUGUCAGAGGUGAAAUUCUUGGAUUUAUUGAAGACUAACUACUGCGAAAGCAUUUGCCAAGGAUGUUUUCAUUAAUCAAGAACGAAAGUUAGGGGAUCGAAGACGAUCAGAUACCGUCGUAGUCUUAACCA